AAGAUUUUAAGUUAAUUUUAAACUAUUAUCCUUCAAAGAUAUAAAUGGAAGUAAAGUCUUUUAAAUCUUA
Molecule: transfer RNA, 70 nt
Filed under: Nymphon gracile
Lineage: Eukaryota; Metazoa; Arthropoda; Pycnogonida; Pantopoda; Nymphonidae
Description: tRNA-Trp
Source: RNAcentral